UACGUAGGCAGCGAGCGUUGUUCGGAAUUACUGGGCGUAAAGAGUGUGUAGGCGGUGUUCCCAGUCUGUUGUGAAAUCUCCCGGCUUAACUGGGAGGGUGCAGCGGAAACUAGAAUGCUAGAGGGUGGGAGAGGUAAGCCGGAAUUCCUGGUGUAGCGGUGAAAUGCGAUAGAUAUCAGGAGGAACACCUGUGGUGUAGACAGCUACUGGACCACUCUGACGCUGAGACACGAAAGCGUGGGUAGCAAACAGG
RNAcentral lists this ribosomal RNA (253 nucleotides) under uncultured bacterium. Its description in RNAcentral is "partial 16S ribosomal RNA". It matches the Rfam family "Bacterial small subunit ribosomal RNA", at positions 524 to 776 of the family's 1533-position model. The record is from RNAcentral.